UGGGGAAUUUUGGACAAUGGGGGAAACCCUGAUCCAGCCAUCCCGCGUGUGCGAUGAAGGCCUUCGGGUUGUAAAGCACUUUUGGCAGGAAAGAAACGUCGCGGGUUAAUACCCCGCGAAACUGACGGUACCUGCAGAAUAAGCACCGGCUAACUACGUGCCAGCAGCCGCGGUAAUACGUAGGGUGCAAGCGUUAAUCGGAAUUACUGGGCGUAAAGCGUGCGCAGGCGGUUCGGAAAGAAAGAUGUGAAAUCCCAGGGCUUAACUUUGGAACUGCAUCUUUAACUACCGGGCUAGAGUGUGUCAGAGGGAGGUGGAAUUCCGCGUGUAGCAGUGAAAUGCGUAGAUAUGCGGAGGAACACCGAUGGCGAAGGCAGCCUCCUGGGAUAACACUGACGCUCAUGCACGAAAGCGUGGGGAGCAAACAGGAUUAGAUACCCUGGUAGUCCACGCCCUAAACGAUGUCAACUAGCUGUUGGGGCCUUCGGGCCUUGGUAGCGCAGCUAACGCGUGAAGUUGACCGCCUGGGGAGUACGGUCG
This 540-nucleotide ribosomal RNA is filed under the name uncultured bacterium. Its description in RNAcentral is "partial 16S ribosomal RNA". It matches the Rfam family "Bacterial small subunit ribosomal RNA", at positions 355 to 888 of the family's 1533-position model. The record is from RNAcentral.